Molecule: long non-coding RNA, 1442 nt
Filed under: Bemisia tabaci
Lineage: Eukaryota; Metazoa; Arthropoda; Insecta; Hemiptera; Aleyrodidae
Description: lncRNA ENSSSA1NGG009502
Source: RNAcentral
AUGGCGUUCCAAAUUUUCCUCGCAGCAGCACUCAUCUCCAUUGCAACCGCACAACAAUACACCUACAGAGCCCCACAGCCCUCCCAAAAAACCUACUCACAGGGAUCCCCAGGUUACUCCCAAAAGGCGGUCACCUACACUCAGCCAGCCGCCGCCUACGCUCCUGCCCCCGCCUACGCUCCUGCCCCCGCCUACGCUCCCGCCCCCGCCUACGCUCCCGUCCCCGCCGCCGCAUACCCAGCUCCGGCAUCCGCCUAUCCCCAAGACUACAGCCCAGGCGCAGCCUCGUCCUCGCAGUUCAUUUCAUUCUUCGGCGGCCACGGACAGCUGUACAACGAGCACCCCCAGGCAGCAGCCCCGGUUGCCGCCUACCAGCCUGAAGCCGCCCAGUCUGACGGACAAUCCGCCUACGGCCAACAAUCCGCCUACGGUGGUCAGUCUGUGGAAGAGUCUUACGGAGAACAGGGCCCAGCUGUAUUCUCCGCCCCCACCUACUCCUCCGGAUCUUUCAAGCCCGCCGCAUCUAGCGUCGGAUCCGCCUACAAGUCUCAAUCUGGUGGCUCCUCCGCCUACUCAGCGCCCACCUACAAGCGGGCGUCGCCGAAGACUCCCUCCUACAAAGGAUCCGCUGCCUCUUCCUCUGGGGAAUCUGGAGCUUCGUACAGCACCCAGACUGAGUCUUCUUACGGAGGAUCUUACGGAGAACAAUCUGGCGGUUCUUACAAAGGACAGUCUGGACCUUCAUCUGUUUACAGCAGUCAGGCUGCAGGUAGUGAAGGUGCCGGGUACAGCCCACAGUCCGGCUACUCGUCAGAACAGCAGGCGAAAUCAGACCCAUCUGCAGUUCAUAGUUCCUACGAGUUCACUAUUGGAUCUGCCCACUAAAAACUUUCAAGUAGAUAAACUCUUUAGAGGUUGAGUAAUGACUGUCUGAGUUCCACUGGUGGUGAUAUAUUGGCGAGCAUCCAACCUGCCACCACUUCAAGUGCGAUACUUAAUUUUCUGCCAAUUUCUGUUCAAAGUAUUGCACCCCCACGUCUUUCAAGUGUGCCUUCAUCACUAGGUCUAUAAAUUAGUGUAUUUUCCGAAGAAAAAUACAAUAUUUUUGUAAGUUUCAUUUUGCUAAUGACCAAAGAAUUGAAAAAAAAUUUUAAUAAAUAACUCUUUGUUUUCUUGUUUUCCAAUUUUUUUGGUUUCAUUGUAUAUUUUACCUUUACCACCUGCACUUUAAAUAUUUCCCUGCUGCUUUUUACCGAAUGCAGAUGUUCAAUUUUUUUUUUUUUUUUUUUUUUUGAAAUCAAUUUCUCUACAAUGAAAUUGUGAAAUUUUUUUUUUUUAAGAAGACAUAAAACGUUCAAUUUGCGGACACCUAAAGUGAAGAAUACAUUUCUCUUUCGCAUUUGCAUUAAAAAGGCACUCAUUCGUGAAUUGCUGGUAACUUU